Molecule: ribosomal RNA, 253 nt
Filed under: uncultured bacterium
Lineage: Bacteria
Description: partial 16S ribosomal RNA
Rfam family: Bacterial small subunit ribosomal RNA
Source: RNAcentral
UACGAAGGGGGCUAGCGUUGCUCGGAAUCACUGGGCGUAAAGCGCACGUAGGCGGCUUUCUAAGUCAGGGGUGAAAUCCUGGAGCUCAACUCCAGAACUGCCUUUGAUACUGGGAAGCUCGAGUCCGGAAGAGGUGAGUGGAACUCCGAGUGUAGAGGUGAAAUGCGCAGAUAUCAGGAAGAACACCCGUGGCGAAGGCGGCUCUCUGGGACGGUACUGACGCUGAGACGCGAAAGCGUGGGGAGCGAACAGG